GUGGGGAAUUUUGGACAAUGGGCGCAAGCCUGAUCCAGCAAUGCCGCGUGCAGGAAGAAGGCCUUCGGGUUGUAAACUGCUUUUGUACGGAACGAAACGGUCCUGGUUAAUACCCGGGGCUAAUGACGGUACCGUAAGAAUAAGCACCGGCUAACUACGUGCCAGCAGCCGCGGUAAUACGUAGGGUGCAAGCGUUAAUCGGAAUUACUGGGCGUAAAGCGUGCGCAGGCGGUGCUGUAAGACAGGCGUGAAAUCCCCGGGCUUAACCUGGGAAUUGCGCUUGUGACUGCAGUGCUGGAGUGCGGCAGAGGGGGAUGGAAUUCCGCGUGUAGCAGUGAAAUGCGUAGAUAUGCGGAGGAACACCGAUGGCGAAGGCAAUCCCCUGGGCCUGCACUGACGCUCAUGCACGAAAGCGUGGGGAGCAAACAGGAUUAGAUACCCGUGUAGUCC
RNAcentral lists this ribosomal RNA (450 nucleotides) under uncultured bacterium. RNAcentral's name for it is "partial 16S ribosomal RNA". It matches the Rfam family "Bacterial small subunit ribosomal RNA", at positions 354 to 796 of the family's 1533-position model. The record is from RNAcentral.